UCCAAUUUUAUGUUGGCAGUUUAUCUAGAAUAAAACAUUAUAAUGUCCUCAAACACUAGAAUAUAAGGGUUGCGCCCGUUAAGGUAGUUAAACUAACACUUUACAGCACGAGCUAACGACAGCCAUGCAACACCUGUAUAAAUCUAAAAUUAUUAAGUUACAUGUAACUUAAUAAUUUGUUAAUAAAAUUAUCAACAAAUAAAUUUAUUGAUCAAGAAUUGGUAAGGUUUUGCGCGGUAUAUCGGAUUAAGCCACAUGCUUCACCGCUUUAUUAAUCCUCCGUCAAUUCUUUUAAGUUUAAGCCUUGCGGACGUAGUUCCUAGGCGGAGUGUUUACGCGUUAGCUUAAACAUAAAAACACAUUUACAUUUAACACUCAUCGGUCACUGCAUAGACUAC
This 398-nucleotide unclassified non-coding RNA is filed under the name uncultured bacterium. RNAcentral describes it as "contains 16S-23S intergenic spacer region". The record is from RNAcentral.